GGCAAGAUGGCCGAGCGGUCUAAGGCGCCAGACUCAAGCUUUCUAGUUUCUGAACCAAAAUUUCAGCGCAUUCUGGUCUCGCAAGAGGCGUGGGUUCAAAUCCCACUCUUGUCA
This is a non-coding RNA of Diplogelasinospora grovesii, 114 nucleotides long. The record is from the annotation of a GenBank genome assembly. NCBI's taxonomy places the organism in Eukaryota, Fungi, Ascomycota, Sordariomycetes, Sordariales, Diplogelasinosporaceae.